AGGACGAACGCUGGCGGCGUGCUUAACACAUGCAAGUCGAACGGUGAAGUGAGGAGCUUGCUCCUUGCGGAUCAGUGGCGAACGGGUGAGUAACACGUGAGUAACCUGCCCUUGACUCUGGGAUAAGCACUGGAAACGGUGUCUAAUACCGGAUACGACCUCCGAAGGCAUCUUCUGGAAGUGGAAAGAAUUUCGGUCAAGGAUGGACUCGCGGCCUAUCAGCUAGUUGGUGAGGUAACGGCCCACCAAGGCGACGACGGGUAGCCGGCCUGAGAGGGUGACCGGCCACACUGGGACUGAGACACGGCCCAGACUCCUACGGGAGGCAGCAGUGGGGAAUAUUGCACAAUGGGCGCAAGCCUGAUGCAGCAACGCCGCGUGAGGGACGACGGCCUUCGGGUUGUAAACCUCUUUUAGUAGGGAAGAAGCGAAAGUGACGGUACCUGCAGAAAAGCACGGCUAACGUACGUGCCAGCAGCGCGGU
Molecule: ribosomal RNA, 484 nt
Filed under: uncultured bacterium
Lineage: Bacteria
Description: SSU rRNA
Rfam family: Bacterial small subunit ribosomal RNA
Source: RNAcentral